This 380-nucleotide ribosomal RNA is filed under the name uncultured eukaryote. RNAcentral describes it as "partial 18S ribosomal RNA". It matches the Rfam family "Eukaryotic small subunit ribosomal RNA", at positions 592 to 976 of the family's 1831-position model. The record is from RNAcentral.
CAAUAGCGUAUAUUAAAGUUGUUGCGGUUAAAAAGCUCGUAGUUGGAUUUCUGCCGAGGACGACCGGUCCGCCCUCUGGGUGUGUAUCUGGUUUGGCCUGGGCAUCUUCUUGGAGAACGUAGCUGCACUUGACUGUGUGGUGCGGUGUCCAGGACUUUUACUUUGAGGAAAUUAGAGUGUUUCAAGCAGGCACACGCCUUGAAUACAUUAGCAUGGAAUAAUAAGAUAGGACCUCGGUUCUAUUUUGUUGGUUUCUAGAGCUGAGGUAAUGAUUAAUAGGGAUAGUUGGGGGCAUUCGUAUUUAACUGUCAGAGGUGAAAUUCUUGGAUUUACGAAAGACGAACUACUGCGAAAGCAUUUGCCAAGAAUGUUUUCAUUAA